Non-coding RNA from Podarcis lilfordi (Lilford's wall lizard), 3358 nucleotides. The record is from the annotation of a GenBank genome assembly. NCBI's taxonomy places the organism in Eukaryota, Metazoa, Chordata, Lepidosauria, Squamata, Lacertidae.
GUGUGAGUCCUGCUGGCAAAAUAGUCACACUCACUUCCAUAGGCGUUUGAGUAUAGGUAGGGAGUCUUCCACUCUGUAUAUGUGGUACGAUAUGCUUCCUACUGAACUCGUAAUCUUACUGUCUGAAACAGCACUUAUGCAUUCUGUCAUUUUCAUUUCAUGUAAUAAACCAAGCUUUCUUUGUCAACGUGUCUCUCAAGAAUCUUAAUGUAAUGCUAGUUUGUUUGCCUCUAAAAAUUACUGGGUCGCCCAUCUGACAUUUAAGAGGUCUUUAGGAUUGCCAGCCCAGAAUAAAAUUAAUUAUUUUGUGUCAGGAGUUUUAUUUAGGCAAGAAUAGAGGCAAACAUAUGCUCAUAAGAGGACAUGUUACAACUCUAGCAAAAGAUCCCCAAGUUCUCAUUGGUGUGUGUAUGAAUACACAUGAGUGGUGGACACAUGUGUGGGUUCAGACACACAUAGUAACAGUAACACCUCCAAGGUGGUUCUCCUCCUCCCUAUUUUAUCAUCACAACGACUCUGUAAAGUAAGUUAGGCUAAGAGACAGUGACUGGCCCAAGGUCACCUAGUGAGCCUCAUGACUAAGUGGAGAUUUGAACCCUGGUCUCCCAGGUCCCCAUCUGAUACUCUAACCACUACACAAUGCUUCUUCCAUUCACUCAGUGUCUAUGUUUGACCCCCAAAAAUGUUUUUUAUAUAAAUAAAAGCACAAACGUUUGCCUGAUUCUUCUUAUGCUAAAGCAUCGCUUCUCCCAAAUAACUCACAAAAAGUUUAUGCCACAGAAACCAUUGUCUUCUCUGAGGGAUGACAUCUUGACAAUUCAUAUUCUUAGCAACUCAUCCUCUACCAUCCACACAACAUGUGGUUAUUUAUUUGCAGAAUCUACUGGCAGAUUCUUAUGUGCUUACACAUCUCUGAAGCGCCUAAUAAAAGUGCUUAAAUACAUAACAGAUGGGUAUCUCACCCUGUGAUAAAUGUGUGAUGGGCACAAAGCUGUCAUCACAUCAUUCACCAACACUUUUUUGAUUUGUUCUCUGUGUUGCAUACUUCACUUCAAGAAACACAUUAAUGUUGCGUACAAUUUGGGAGAUUCAUUACUUCAAAGAAGAUCUUUGUUUCUCUCUUCUCAUGCAUGGGCUCUUGAAUACGCCCGCCAACCAUUACGAAACUUCAGCAUGAUUUCUGUUUUUCAUUGCCGCUAAUCUUUAAAGUUUGGAACAUUUAAUAAUAUAUGGAGAAUGUGCAUAAAUAUCUACGAUUAUGCAGAUUUGUAUGAUGGCAGGAAGAAUGUGCAUGAAUUGGCAGCCUAUUCAGAGUAAUUUGUACACUGGUUAUCAAUAUUGCAUCACCUCCAAAUGAUUUUUAGGAAUGUGUAAUCGCCUAGGGGAUUUUGAACAUUCUCUGGUAAAUAUAUGCAUACAGAACAAGUCCAAUUCUAUUUAUUCAGAAGUAAAUCCUAUGAAAUUCAAUGGUAAUUUCUCUCAAUUAAGUGUGCACAGGAUUUGAUCCAUCACAGUUUCAAUGAAACUACAGACAGAAGAAAGUACAGUGGUACCUUGGAAGUCGUAUGGAAUCCAUUCUGGAAGUCCGUUCGACUUCCAAAACAUUCAGAAACCAAGGCGCAGCUUCUGAUUGGCUGCAUGAAGUUCCUGCAGCUGACCAGGAGCCGCGGAAGCCGCGUCGGACAUUCGGGUUCCAAAAAACAUUCGCAAACCAGAACACUCAUGGGAUCAAAAACGUUCGACUCGCAAGGCAUUUGGGAUCCAAGGUGCAACUGUACUUCAUCACACAGUGCAUAGUUAAAAUUGGAAUUUGUUCCUACAAGAGGUCAUGAUGGACGCCAACUUCGACGGCUUUAAAAGCUGGUUGCACAAAUUUGUGGAGGGUCUCAGCAGUUACCCUUGGGAUCCCUCCUAACUCUACAGUUCUAUGAUUGUAUGGUUCUAUAAUGGUUCUGCAUUCACUGUCAGAGGCCGAAUGCCACUGAAAGCUAGUUUCUGGGACAGAGUGGGCAGAGUACUGUUGUACGCAGCUUUGGGGCUUCCCAAAAGCCUCUGGUUGGCCACUGUGAGAACAGAAUGCUGGACUAGAUGGGUCAUUGGCCUUCUUAUGUCCAAGUCUGCUUUACAGAUAAUGAACCAUCAGAAAGCAAAGCAACAUUUUGCAAUGUUGCCUCUUAGCUGUUAGCACCUGGGCAGCAGACUGAGCAGGCACACAGAUCACUAUAGUGAUCUUCCUCGCUAUAGUGAGACUCAUUUCUAUUUAAAUUCCGCUAAUUAUUUCUAAGUUUGUGUCUAUACAUAUAAUAAAUUAGCAUAUGACAAUUUUAUACAAACCUGUGUUCUCUUGCCAUUUUUUAAAAGAUCUGUUUCCUUUUUCUUUUUUGGCAAUGCAUAAUCCUAACCCUAUCCUAUAACAAAGAGAGCAGCUCAGUACCAUUGUCAGGCAGCUGUAGACACUGAGCCAAUGAAAAACACAGUGAACAAGAGGAAGCUACAUUCUCCUCUUACGCUGUCUCUCAAAGCACACUGGUCUUUCUUAAGUAGUCCCCUAGAAUCAGGGUUGGACCAAUAUAUUUUGCCGCCUGAGGCAAAGGACAUGGUGGGGGUGCAUCUCCCCAUUCCAUAUACAAGAGCUGACUGGACUGGCAGUGAAAUGGCCCAUCAACUUGGGAAAUGGAAUAGCAUCCUCUAAUGCAUGGGGGUGGGGAGCCUGUAGUACACAUGGCUCUGAUCAAAGGGAGCAAAGGGAAUGUACCUGCUGCCUCACUACGCCUAAUGCUAGGGCUGGCACUGCAAGGCAGGUUGCCCCAACAGUUCUCUCAGGCCAAUGAUCAGGAGCUGAUGGGAUGUGCUUCCUAGCCUUCCCAGCUUCUCCAUUGUAUCUGAGCUUCAUCAGUCCAAAUGGAGGGUGGAGGGCUGUCCAGGAAGAUCCAAGACAGCAGGAAAGGUGGAUCGGGGGAUCUCUGCCUUUCACAGUCUCCUCUGGACACUUUGAUUCAAACUCAUGCUAUAUGCUAUGCGUGUGUCUAAUCUAUACAGUGGAUGCUCGGGUUGCGAACGUGAUCCGUGCGGGAGGCACGUUCGCAACCCGCAGCGCCACAUCUGCGCACGCGCCAGUUGUGAUUCGGCACUUCUGCACAUGCACAAAGCAUGAUUUAGCGCUUCUGCACAUGUGCGAGUGCUGAAACCUGGAAGUAACCCUUUCUGGUACUUCUGGGUUUUGGUGUGUCUGUAUCCCGAAACCGUGCAACCUGAAUCGUCUGUAACCCAAGGUAUGACUGUACAGGAUGUGAGAGAAAAGGACAGAAAAUGUGUGCUUGGGUGUUAUGUAUUUUUAGGGAUUGACACCUCACUCUUC